RNAcentral lists this ribosomal RNA (406 nucleotides) under uncultured bacterium. Its description in RNAcentral is "partial 16S ribosomal RNA". It matches the Rfam family "Bacterial small subunit ribosomal RNA", at positions 30 to 526 of the family's 1533-position model. The record is from RNAcentral.
AUUGAACACUGGCGGCAGGCCUAACACAUGCAAGUCGAACGAGUGGCGGACGGGUGAGUUAUGUCUGGGCAACUGCCUGCUGGAGGGGGAUAACUACUGGAAACGGUUGCUAAUACCGCAUACCAUCAGAUUUGCCCAGAUGGGAUUAGCUUGUUGGUGGGGUAACGGCUCACCCAGUCGACGAUCCCUAGCUGGUCUGAGAGGAUGACCAGCAACCCUGGAACUGAGAAACGGUCCAGACGCCUAAGGGAGGCAGCAGUGGGGACUAUUGCACAAGGGGCGCAAGGCUGAUGCAGCCAUGCCGGGUGUAUGAAGAAGGCCUUCGGGUUGUAAAGUACUUUCAGCGGGGAGGCGGUACCCGCAGAAGAAGCACCGGCUAACUCCGUGCCAGCAGCCGCGGUAAUUC